RNAcentral lists this ribosomal RNA (388 nucleotides) under uncultured eukaryote. Its description in RNAcentral is "partial 18S ribosomal RNA". It matches the Rfam family "Eukaryotic small subunit ribosomal RNA", at positions 592 to 976 of the family's 1831-position model. The record is from RNAcentral.
CAAUAGCGUAUAUUAAAGUUGUUGCAGUUAAAAAGCUCGUAGUUGGAUUUCUGAUCGAGACAUCAGGUCGGGUCCGAGAGGAUCAUGUACUUUGAUUUUGUUUUGAUCAUCCUUGGGGAGAGCAUUUCUGGCAUUCAGUUGUCGGGAUUGGGAUCCUCAUCGUUUACUGCGAAAAAAUUAGAGUGUUCAAAGCAGGCCUCGGCCUCUGAAUACAUUAGCAUGGAAUAAUAAGAUAGGACUUUGGUGGUCUAUUUUGUUGGUUUGCACGCCAAAGUAAUGAUUAAUAGGGAUAGUUGGGGGUAUUCGUAUUCAAUUGUCAGAGGUGAAAUUCUUGGAUUUAUGGAAGACGAACUACUGCGAAAGCAUUUACCAAGGAUGUUUUCAUUAA